Portunus trituberculatus (swimming crab) is the source of this 861-nucleotide long non-coding RNA. RefSeq lists it as uncharacterized. The record is from RefSeq and is a predicted model, not a curated record. NCBI's taxonomy places the organism in Eukaryota, Metazoa, Arthropoda, Malacostraca, Decapoda, Portunidae. The transcript has 2 exons.
GGGGGAGUGGUGUACAAGUUGUGUGGGGAUGAGAAUAGGUGGGGAGGACUAAAGGGAGCGUGAAUGGAUCGUGGCUCCAGGAGGCAGGCUGGGAACUGAAUCAAUGUGAUAAAAUGGAGGAGAGAGACUUGAGAGGGUGUGGUGCGAGUGUUUGUGACGGUUAGGACAGCAUGGAUAAGAGUGGAGAAGACGUGUAAGGAGUGGUGGUGGUGGUGGAACUGUGUGGAGACGAGUGAAAGGCUGUGGGCAGUGGAGGAGUUUUAAGACAAUGUGACGUGUUAGACGAAAUAAUUAGUGAACAAGAUAAUGCUGUUUUGUUCCAUAUUUGUCCAUUACAGGCGUUGACGAUCCAAAGGCCUGACUCCACAGCGGUAAUGCGUCCCCUCUACUAUCAAGGAGAGACUCUACCUUGCACUACACCUUCACUGACAACGCCCACGAUCAACACCUCUGCCUCACCACUACCGCAACAUCAGAGGACUGUCUUGCAUCGCGCCCAGACACUACGUAGAUUUCACUAACCAGGAAUUGGCGAUCCAAGGCCUGAGUGUAGCGAUCAAGGGACUCCACUGCCGCCGUCCAGCGAGAUUCGGCUCCACAUCUCACACCUUCCGCCGCCGUCCCAACACCACCACCAACACCAAGGAUUGCACGGCACCUUGACCCUGCGCGGCCAUCACCUACUGGGGGUGUCGGUGGCCAGGUGGGGGAAGGAGUUGCGGGCAGCGUGACAGUCAGUCUUCCCUCAUUCACUGUGGGUGGUGUGGUGCCAUUACUCCAUUGUAAUAAACUGUCUUCACUGCCUCAUUGUGGUGUUCUCACUGUACUAAGAGCUGUUGUCAAUAAAUAAUAGUGUAGAAA